UACAGAGGGUGCGAGCGUUGUUCGGAAUUAUUGGGCGUAAAGGGCGCGUAGGCGGUGCGGUAAGUCACCUGUGAAACCUCUGGGCUUAACUCAGAGCCUGCAGGCGAAACUACCGUGCUGGAGUGUGGGAGAGGUGCGUGGAAUUCCCGGUGUAGCGGUGAAAUGCGUGGAUAUCGGGAGGAACACCUGUGGCGAAAGCGGCGCACUGGACCACAACUGACGCUGAGGCGCGAAAGCUAGGGGAGCAAACAGG
RNAcentral lists this ribosomal RNA (253 nucleotides) under uncultured bacterium. Its description in RNAcentral is "partial 16S ribosomal RNA". It matches the Rfam family "Bacterial small subunit ribosomal RNA", at positions 524 to 776 of the family's 1533-position model. The record is from RNAcentral.